Molecule: long non-coding RNA, 4515 nt
Organism: Cavia porcellus (domestic guinea pig)
Lineage: Eukaryota; Metazoa; Chordata; Mammalia; Rodentia; Caviidae
Exons: 6
Source: RefSeq, a predicted model, not a curated record
AGUGAAUCUUUGUAGGCUAAAUCAAGAGUGAGCGGGAAGGAGGCAUGGAUGACUGCUUUAUUUCAUUUUGUUUUUUGAAACAGGGUGUUGUUGUAGUUCAGGCUGGUCUUGAACUCACUGCAUAGCCUAGGCUGGCCUUGAACUUUUGGUGAUCCUUCUGCCUCAGCCUCCACAAAGUGCUGGGAUUACAGGCAUGCACCACUGUACCCAGCCCCCAGGAUUUCACUUUUAAAUUAAAACGUUUUCCUUAGAACAGAAAUCCAUUGUAUAAAAGAAUGGGAAAAGACACAUUAUGUAAAUAGCAUCCAGAAGAGUGGAAAUGACUACACUCUGUCAGAUGAAGUAGAUUUCAAGGCAAAAAGUGUCAUCAGAGACAAGGAAGGACAUUUUCCUGACAAAACAAUCAACAAAUCAUGAAUGAUACCACAAUUUUAGGCCAGGUGUGAUGAUGCUCACCCUGCAGUUCUAGGACUCUGGGAGGCAGAGGCAGGAGGAUUUAGCUAGACCUUCCCUCAAAAUAAAAAGUUUUAAAAAGUGCUGGGGAUAAAGCUCAGUGUGAACGCUCUGGGUUCAAUUCACAGUCGUGAAAAGUACAUGAAACAAAACCUGACAGAAUUAAAGGAGAAACAGGCAGUCCAACAGAAAUAGCCAAACACUUCGGUCCUCAUCAGUAGAGAGGAAAGCAGGUGGAGACCAUGUAAGGCUCGAAGAACCACGCAAACCAAGUGGGCCACACCGACCGGAAAGAGGCGCCACCCUGCGGCAGCAGAGCUCCCAUUUUCUCAGUGCAUGUGGAACCUUCUCCAGGAUAGACCCCAUUCAAAAACUGGACAGAAGCUGGGCAUGGUGACGCACGCCUGUGAUCCCAACACUCCAGAGGCUGAGGCAGGAGAGUCGCUGUGAACUUGAGACCAGCAGGGGCUACAUAAUGAAUUUAAGACAAGACUGAGCUACGUAGCGAGACCCUAUCUCAAGAAACCAAAAAGCUAAAACCAAGACCAAAACCAAAACACAGGGAACUAUAGAGCAGUACUGAAGCGAGCACUAUCCUACUGAGCUACAUCCCCAGCCCUUUAAAUUAUUUUUUACUUGAUACAGAAUCUUGCUAACUGUGCUCAGAUGGCCUAGGACUUAUGAUCCUCCUGCCUCAGCCUUCCAAAUAGGUGGGGUUAUAGGCAUGUUCCUGAAGCCUGGCUCAAGGAUGGACAUUUUUUUUCUUUUUUCAAAUCCAUUUUAUUUCAGAGGAGAAAAAAGCAAUAAAAUUUCAAAACACAUCAAUCAAGCAACAAUGGUACACACGUUGUGCAUUGUUGAAGUAUGGAAAUUAUGGUUUUUGUUUUGAGACAUGUAGUGCAGGCUGGCCUUCAGCUUGCUUAUAUAGCCCCUGCUGGCCUUGAACUCAUAUUGAUUCUCUUGCCUCAGCCUCUCAAGUGCUGAUGUUACAGGUAUGUGCCACCAUGCCCAGCUUGUCUUACUCUUGACGCAGGAAAAAAAGCGCUGUUCCCUCAGGAAUAGUGACAUAGAAAUUCUCAAGACAGUCCUAGCAAACUAAGUUUAGAAAAAGGUUAUCUACUAUGGCCAAGUGGAAUUUAUCCCAGGAGUGCAAGGCUGGUGUGACGUAUGAAGAUCAACACACUAAUUCACAUUAGUAGAAGAAAAUACAAACCCAACAGGAUCAUUUCAAUACGCACAAAGAGCCUUUCACAGAAUCUAAUACCUUUUUAUGGCAUAAGCACUUAACAAACUAAUAUUAAAACCCAGUGGUAAUGAAUCCACUGCUGACGUCACACUUCUGGAGAAAAGUCAGAUACUUUGAUUCCUGAGAGUGAAAGACAGAAUGUCCGUCCUUAGGUGGGAUGCACUGGCACAUGUCUGUAAUCCUACUUUGAAGGCUGAGGCAGAAGGAUCUGAGGUCAGUUUGGGAGCUUCAGCAAAACUCUGUGGCAAAGUUAAAGGACGAGGGUGGAGCUCAGUGGUACAGAGCUUCCCUAACACUCAGGCCCCUAGACCGAGGUUCAGCCUCUAGGGUUUUGGAUUAGGCAGUGUUUCUGUAGCUGUUAACACUAAAAUCAGAGAGACAAAACUGAAAGCCCCUGUCUCGGCCUACUGAGUGCUGGGAUGAUAGGUGUACAGCACCACACCUGGCAAAAAUGUACUUUUUAUUAUUUUUUGGUAUUGGGGGUUGAACUCACGACCUUGUUACCUGGCAGGCGCUUGUGCCAGAGCUAAAUCCCUGAUCCUAAAAAUGUGCUUUUUAAAUAGGAUCCCCAAGAAGAGCUUUCUGAAGAUGAGGUUUUAGCAAUCAACAAUAUAUUGAUUGCUUCAGGAAAAUUAAUUUUCUGGCAAAGCAAAAUUAUUUAAAGGAUUAAUGUGGAAUUUUUAUACAUCUGGUUUUUCAUUUGUAAUAAUAGCUAAAAAGAUUUGAUCCCUAUGUUUGGGUGAUAAUAUUGUAUGCUUUAUUUCACUUAACUCGUGUUUAUUUUAUUUUGUGUGUUUCUUUCUUUUCUUUUUUUGAGACAGGAUCUCUGUAUGUUGUUCAGGCUAGCCUUGAAUUUGAGAUCCUGCUGCGUCCGCCUCCUAAUUGCUAGGAUUACAGGCGAGUGCCACUCUGCCCGGCUAAUUCUCACAUCUAACCAAUGAAGCUUCAGCCAUUUUGUCAGGGAAAACGUUUUAAACCUUUCUUCAGUCCUACGUAGCAUUUUAAAAACUCUUGAGGCCAUGCAUUGCGUUUGCCUCUGUGAGGUGAGGUAGGGUGCAGAGGACAAACGGUGGCCGUUUGGGGCCAGUUUCCCACUCAUCCGCUGUGACCCUCUGCUUCCUGGGUUUGUAUGUGCUGUGGCAGAGAUGGUGACGGCGUCACAGAGGGUUCUUUUCCCAGGAGCUAAAUUGCUCUGCGUUUUGUGAUCGGAGCUUUUGUAACUCUCCCUGCCCUUUAGAAGUAAAUCUUCCCACUCCCAUUUCCCGCCAGCCAGCUGUCAUUUAUUAUAGCUGUCAACAUAAAACGACAGCUGUCCCCACUUCUCAGCCACUGUGUCUGCUGUGCGCGCUGGAAGCCAGGUGACCAUCGCAGGUCAUCGGGCAUAGACGAGGCGUGGAGCAGGGGAUGCUGCUGGGGACGGGGCUGUGGAAAGCUUGCUCUGCUGGACACAGUGCUCUCUGGAUGUAUUGGAAAGCUCAUAUUCACAGCCCCUGAAGGUCUUGGAAACUGAAGGUUAAGGGGCUCCAUCUAAUCUCUCUGGCGUGACCCUGUUACACCUGCAACAGUGCUGUGUCCCUGGUAUCUGUUCAGCAAAUGUUGAGGUUAUUCGUUGCCUGGCAAUGAGGAAGAUUAAACUGCUAAAUACCUGAAGUAAGCGGCUUUCCUUGGUGGCAGGCCCAUGGCAUUUCUGCAUUUGAACCUGUCUGCUGGUGACUGAGACCUCGUAAACCAUGAACCACAGUCAACCUCUCCUCCUUUAAAUCGUGGGUGUUGGGUACUAUGUCUGGGCAGGGAGAAAGUGACCAGGCUGCCAUCCUUCAGGAGGGCCAACAUGACAUGGGUAAUGGUGUUCCUUUUUCUCCUCUUGGAAGAUGUUAUUAAAUAGGAUGCCUUUGAGCUGGGCGUGGUGGCACACACCUGUAAUCCCAGCACUCCGGAGGCUGAGGUGGGAGGAUCCUUGAGAGUUUGAGACCAGCCUGGGCUACAAAGUGAGCUCAAGGCCAGCCUGAACUGCAUAGUGAGACUCCAUCUCAAAAAAGACAAAAAAAAAAAAAAAAAAAAAAAAAAAAAGGUUGCCUUGGACAGUUAACAGCAGCACUGUGCUAAUUAUUAUCUAACUGGAGAGGAAGAGCAGAUGCGCAUGGAGCUGAGCCGGGCAUUGCUCUAGGUCCUUCCAGGACCUGUUCCCGAGGAGCCGGAGACCCAUCUUCUUCCCCCUCAGGGCCUCCUGGUUCCUCUUCCUCUUUAAAGUGGCUCAACUUCUUCCCAGUGGAGAGAAUGUCACUAACUUGCUGAGUUAUCCUGGCUGGGCUCAAACUUGUGAUCAUCCUGCCUCAGCCUCCUCCAGUGUUGGAAUUACAGCUGCUGAUGGACAUAUAGUCUACUUCCAAGAUGUGACUGUCAUGGAUUGUGCUGCUGUGCCCAUAGGCUGCAAGACUAUUGGUUGGUGCCACCCACGCCCAGGCUGGGUCUUCCCUCUUCAGGAAGUCAGAGACGCCCAGGACUGUGCUAAUCAGCUAAAUUCAAGUUGACACCAUAGUUUACCUCACAGACCCCUUGCAUGUCUCCCGCGGUUACCAGCAGAAUAAGAAACCCUGAGAAACAGCCUGAGAAAGAAGACCAGCAGUGAUGAGGAGGCUUCACCAAGGGCAAAGCGAGUGAGGUGGUGGCUGGCAUAGCAAUGGAGAAACUGCUCUGCAGUCUGGGCAAAUGGCAAGCAGUCCCAUGUUUUGGCACAACAAUUUGUAAGGCUUUUGUCUGUUAUAACUUAGAAGACAACAGAUGUUGCUAGUAAACUUUUCAUUUGGCUAAGGAAA